CAGCCGCCGAAGGUGGGGCAGAUGAUUGGGGUGAAGUCGUAACAAGGUAUCCCUACCGGAAGGUGGGGAUGGAUCACCUCCUUU
This 84-nucleotide ribosomal RNA is filed under the name Thermoactinomyces sp. CICC 10522. RNAcentral's name for it is "partial 16S ribosomal RNA". It matches the Rfam family "Bacterial small subunit ribosomal RNA", at positions 1450 to 1533 of the family's 1533-position model. Lineage: Bacteria; Bacillati; Bacillota; Bacilli; Caryophanales; Thermoactinomycetaceae. RNAcentral also lists the same sequence under 1 other name. The record is from RNAcentral.